GUGUCAGCAGCCGCGGUAACACGUAGGGGGCGAGCGUUGUCCGGAUUUAUUGGGCGUAAAGAGCUCGUAGGCGGUUUGGCAAGUCGGGUGUGAAAUUUCGAGGCUCAACCUCGAAACGCCACUCGAUACUGCCAUGACUGGAGUCCGGUAGAGGAGUGCGGAAUUCCUGGUGUAGCGGUGAAAUGCGCAGAUAUCAGGAGGAACACCAACGGCGAAGGCAGCACUCUGGGCCGGUACUGACGCUGAGGAGCGAAAGCGUGGGGAGCAAACAGGAUUAGAUACCCUGGUAGUCCACGCCGUAAACGUUGGGCACUAGGUGUGGGGGGCUGUCAACGCCCUCCGUGCCGUAGCUAACGCAUUAAGUGCCCCGCCUGGGGAGUACGGCCGCAAGGCUAAA
RNAcentral lists this ribosomal RNA (397 nucleotides) under uncultured bacterium. RNAcentral describes it as "bacterial SSU rRNA". It matches the Rfam family "Bacterial small subunit ribosomal RNA", at positions 505 to 898 of the family's 1533-position model. The record is from RNAcentral.